RNAcentral lists this small RNA (92 nucleotides) under Chryseobacterium balustinum. RNAcentral's name for it is "Flavo-1 RNA". It matches the Rfam family "Flavo-1 RNA". Lineage: Bacteria; Pseudomonadati; Bacteroidota; Flavobacteriia; Flavobacteriales; Weeksellaceae. The record is from RNAcentral.
UCUUAGCCCUGAUGGGAACGACAUCCUUUUUUUUGCAUUGGCUUGAAAAAAACGUUGGCAAAAAAAAGAUAUAGUGGACAGCGGGAAAUAGC